CCUACGGGGGACAGCAGUGGGGGAUAUUGCACAAUGGGGGGAACCCUGAUGCAGCGACGCCGCGUGGGUGAAGGAGUGCUUCGGCAUGUAAAGCCCUAUCGGCAGGGAAGAAGCAAGACGGUACCUGACUAAGAAGCCCCGGCUAACUACGUGCCAGCAGCCGCGGUAAUACGUAGGGGGCGAGCGUUAUCCGGAUUCACUGGGUGGAAAGGGAGCGUAGACGGCCAUGCAAGCCAGGGGUGAAAGCCCGGGGCCCAACCCCGGGACUGCCCUUGGAAUUGCAUGGCUGGAGUGCGGGAGGGGCAGGCGGAAUUCCUGGUGUAGCGGUGAAAUGCGUAGAGAUCAGGAGGAACACCGGCGGCGAAGGCGGUCUGCUGGACUGCGACUGACGUUGAGGCUCGAAAGCGUGGGGAGCGAACAGGAUUAGAUACCCGAGUAGUC
This 441-nucleotide ribosomal RNA is filed under the name uncultured bacterium. Its description in RNAcentral is "partial 16S ribosomal RNA". It matches the Rfam family "Bacterial small subunit ribosomal RNA", at positions 338 to 795 of the family's 1533-position model. The record is from RNAcentral.